UACGUAGGGCGCAAGCGUUGUCCGGAAUUAUUGGGCGUAAAGAGCUCGUAGGCGGUUUGUCGCGUCUGUCGUGAAAGCUUGGGGCUUAACCCCAAGUCUGCGGUGGAUACGGGCAGACUAGAGGCAGGUAGGGGAGAACGGAAUUCCCGGUGUAGCGGUGAAAUGCGCAGAUAUCGGGAGGAACACCGGUGGCGGAGGCGGUUCUCUGGGCCUGUACUGACGCUGAGGAGCGAAAGCGUGGGGAGCGAACAGG
RNAcentral lists this ribosomal RNA (253 nucleotides) under uncultured bacterium. Its description in RNAcentral is "partial 16S ribosomal RNA". It matches the Rfam family "Bacterial small subunit ribosomal RNA", at positions 524 to 776 of the family's 1533-position model. The record is from RNAcentral.